CAGCAGCCGCGGGAAUACGUAGGAUGCGAGCGUUAAUCGGAAUUACUGGGCGUAAAGCGUGCGCAGGCGGUUUUGUAAGACAGGCGUGAAAUCCCCGGGCUCAACCUGGGAAUGGCGCUUGUGACUGCAAAGCUAGAGUGCGGCAGAGGGGGAUGGAAUUCCGCGUGUAGCAGUGAAAUGCGUAGAUAUGCGGAGGAACACCGAUGGCGGAGGCAAUCCCCUGGGCCUGCACUGACGCUCAUGCACGAAAGCGUGGGGAGCAAACAGGAUUAGAUACCCCCGUAGUCCCUGUCUCUUAUAC
This 301-nucleotide ribosomal RNA is filed under the name uncultured bacterium. RNAcentral describes it as "partial 16S ribosomal RNA". It matches the Rfam family "Bacterial small subunit ribosomal RNA", at positions 509 to 807 of the family's 1533-position model. The record is from RNAcentral.